This 918-nucleotide ribosomal RNA is filed under the name human gut metagenome. RNAcentral describes it as "bacterial SSU rRNA". It matches the Rfam family "Bacterial small subunit ribosomal RNA", at positions 43 to 928 of the family's 1533-position model. The record is from RNAcentral.
CGUGCCUAAUACAUGCAAGUCGAACGAAGCUUUCUUUCACCGAAUGCUUGCAUUCACCGAAAGAAGCUUAGUGGCGAACGGGUGAGUAACACGUAGGCAACCUGCCCAAAAGAGGGGGAUAACACUUGGAAACAGGUGCUAAUACCGCAUAACCAUGAACACCGCAUGAUGUUCAUGUAAAAGACGGCUUUUGCUGUCGCUUUUGGAUGGGCCUGCGGCGUAUUAACUUGUUGGUGGGGUAACGGCCUACCAAGGUGAUGAUACGUAGCCGAACUGAGAGGUUGAUCGGCCACAUUGGGACUGAGACACGGCCCAAACUCCUACGGGAGGCAGCAGUAGGGAAUCUUCCACAAUGGACGAAAGUCUGAUGGAGCAACGCCGCGUGAAUGAAGAAGGCCUUCGGGUCGUAAAAUUCUGUUGUCAGAGAAGAACGUGCGUGAGAGUAACUGUUCACGUAUUGACGGUAUCUGACCAGAAAGCCACGGCUAACUACGUGCCAGCAGCCGCGGUAAUACGUAGGUGGCGAGCGUUGUCCGGAUUUAUUGGGCGUAAAGGGAACGCAGGCGGUCUUUUAAGUCUGAUGUGAAAGCCUUCGGCUUAACCGAAGUAGUGCAUUGGAAACUGGAAGACUUGAGUGCAGAAGAGGAGAGUGGAACUCCAUGUGUAGCGGUGAAAUGCGUAGAUAUAUGGAAGAACACCAGUGGCGAAAGCGGCUCUCUGGUCUGUAACUGACGCUGAGGUUCGAAAGCGUGGGUAGCAAACAGGAUUAGAUACCCUGGUAGUCCACGCCGUAAACGAUGAGUGCUAAGUGUUGGAGGGUUUCCGCCCUUCAGUGCUGCAGCUAACGCAUUAAGCACUCCGCCUGGGGAGUACGGUCGCAAGACUGAAACUCAAAGGAAUUGACGGGGGCCCGCACAA